CUAUUUUGGGUCCAUAAUCCCUCAUCCAGAGCCUUUGGGGCAAGACCCGAAUGGGGAUUCUGAGUGCAUGCUAUGGCAUGACGUGCCCGCAGGCGUCUAAGGCAGUGCCCCAUUUUCAAACACUUUCAUAUUUCUCCCGCAGAAUGUAUGAAACAGUCAAACCAAGUGUGGUAAGAAAGACUGUAAGUAGCUCCACAUCAAUUGCCAAAAGAAUUGUGAGAAACCUUGGGCAUUCAGAGCCUUUGAGGUUUUGGAGUCUGAGAGAAGGGAUUGCGGGCCAGCCCCACACCACUGGUGGCUCUGCAAGCUGGAGCAGUUGUUCAGUUUCUUGGGGCCUCAGUGGCCUUCGAUGUUAAUGAGGACAUGGACGCAAAUGACCCCGGGCCACACUCGGCUCCAGGGCUCUGUGUGGCUGUGGAACCCUGGAAGCCUGAGCUUAGCUGCCUUUCAACUUCCAUCUGCUGUACUAUUGAAUUGGCAUUGAGCGGUGAGAUGGCUGAAAGGUAGACAUCGAGAAGUUUCAAUAUUCAGAAUCUUUUCUUCUCAAGAUGCUGAAUGUAAUCUUAGUUGUAAAUACCCAUCACCUGCCAGUCACCGAGCACUCAUGCACCAGGGCUUUGCGUUAUGUCCUAAGAUCCUCAUAACCACCCUGCAAGGGGGCUAUCAUCAUUACCUCUGUAUUACAGAUGGAGAAACUGAGGCACAGAGAGGUAACGUGACUUAUCUCAGGCCAUAAAGCUGGGGAAAGUAGUGGAGCUGGUUUUGAACCUGAGCUGUGAGACCUCAGAGCCCUAAACUCUGGUGCCUGUGUGUUCCCCUUUCAACCCAGACUUUGGAAAUCAGUAGACACCAUAUGCUUCAAAAAACAGGGGCUAUUAAAAUGACAUCAGGAGCCAGAAAGUCUCAUGGCUGUGCUUUCUCUUGAAGUUUAUACAACAACCAGAUCACCGAUGUCGGAGCCAGGUACGUCACCAAAAUCCUGGAUGAAUGCAAAGGCCUCACGCAUCUUAAGUAAGUGGGGUAGGCACCAGGUUCCCUAGUAUAUUCUCUUGAUCACCCCCUUCUGUUGUUCAAAGAUUAAAUGUCACAGUAAAGAGCUUUCAUCCUAAAGCCUUCCACUUGUCCCAGGGCCAUGUUGGUCAAGUAAAGAUACCUCUGUGUGAUCUGUGAGGCUUGGAUUCUGGAAGGGCCUCCCGUUAUUGGUAGGGGGAAAGGUUGGCAUUUUGAUUUCAUUAACUACUAGCCCAAAGAAAGGACUAACUCUCACCCUUUCUGGUGGUCUUUUUGCCCCAAGGGAGUUUCCUGUCAGGUUGCAAGGAAGAGCUUGGGCCCUUGCCCUGCUGUAGGUGUGCCCUGCGCAGGGGGUGACAGUGCGCCAGGCUUGGAGCCUCUGGUCCUGCCCUGACAGUGGCCACAUACCUUGACCCUUGGCAGUCAAAGUGGGACCUCCCAGGUCUCCCGAGGGAAGUCAGUGAUGCUGCUGAGGUCACUUAGAGGACCCCAGGGAGGGCUCAGGUCCCUGAGCUUCUGCAGAGACUGUGGACCAUCUCCUGGAGAAGAACCCUGACUGACUGUCCUCAGGGCUUCAGUUCCCUCCCUGACAGGAGGCCCAGGCCGUGGCUCUUGUCGAUCCCAGAAGAAAGUGUACGGUUCCCAAGAUGGGGCUGGAAGGGGCUCUGUGCUGGGGAGGAGGGUGACCCACAUUGGAGCCCCUGCAUAGCUGGAGGCUGACUGUGUGUGACUCUCUCUGCAGACUGGGAAAAAACAAAAUAACAAGUGAAGGAGGGAAGUAUCUCGCCCUGGCUGUGAAGAACAGCAAAUCAAUCUCUGAGGUUGGGCUUAUCCAGAAUCAGAUCACAGCUAAGGGGACUGCCCAGCUGGCAGAUGCGUUACAGAGCAACACUGGCAUAACAGAGAUUUGCCUAAAUGGAAACCUGAUAAAACCAGAGGAGGCCAAAGUCUAUGAAGAUGAGAAGCGGAUUAUCUGUUUCUGAGAGGAUGCUUUCCUGUGCAUGGGGUUUUUGCCCUGGAGCCUCAGCAGCAAAUGCCACUCUGGGCAGUCUUUUGUGUCAGUGUCUUAAAGGGGCCUGCGCAGGCGGGACUAUCAGGAGUCCACUGCCUCCAUGAUGCAAGCCAGCUUCCUGUGCAGAAGGUCUGGUCGGCAAACUCCCUAAGUACCCGCUACAAUUCUGCAGAAAAAGAAUGUGUCUUGUGAGCUGUUGUAGUUACAGUAAAUACACUGUGAAGAGACUUUAUUGCCUAUUAUAAUUAUUUUUAUCUGAAGCUAAAGGAAUAAAGCUGUGAGCAAACAGAGGAGGCCAGCCUCAGCUCAUUCCAACACCUGCCAUAGGGACCAACGGGAGCGAGUUGGUCACCGCUGUUUUCAUUGAAGAGUUGAGGAUGUGGCACAAAGUUGGUGCCAAGCUUCUUGAAUAAAACGUGUUUGAUGGAUUAGUAUUAUACCUGAAAUAUUUUCUUCUUUCUCAGCACUUUCCCAUGUAUUGAUACUGGUCCCACUUCACAGCUGGAGACACUGGAGUAUGUGCAAUGUGGGAUUUGACUCCUCCAAGGUUUUGUGGAAAGUUAAUGUCAAGGAAAGGAUGCACCACGGGCUUUUAAUUUUAAUCCUGGAGUCUCACUGUCGGCUGGCAAAGAUAGAGAAUGCCCUCAGCUCUUAGCUGGUCUAAGAAUGACGAUGCCUUCAAAAUGCUGCUUCCACUCAGGGCUUCUCCUCUGCUAGGCUACCCUCCUCUAGAAGGCUGAGUACCAUGGGCUACAGUGUCUGGCCUCGGGAAGAAGUGAUUCUGUCCCUCCAAAGAAAUAGGGCAUGGCUUGCCUUUGUGGCCCUGGCAUCCAAAUGGCUGCUUUUGUCUCCCUUACCUCGUGAAGAGGGGAAGUCUCUUCCUGCCUCCCAAGCAGCUGAAGGGUGACUAAACUGGCGCCAAGACUCAGGGGAUCGGCUGGGAACUGGGCCAGCAGAGCAUGUUGGACACCCCCCACCAUGGUGGGCUUGUGGUGGCUGCUCCAUGAGGGUGGGGGUGAUAUUACUAGAUCACUUGUCCUCUUGCCAGCUCAUUUGUUAAUAAAAUACUGAAAAC
RNAcentral lists this small RNA (3098 nucleotides) under Pan troglodytes (chimpanzee). RNAcentral's name for it is "retained intron". Lineage: Eukaryota; Metazoa; Chordata; Mammalia; Primates; Hominidae. The record is from RNAcentral.